AUCCAUACAAGAAUGUGAGGACGGGGAGGACAGAAGGGCUGAGGUUGAGAGCGGGAGAGUAGGAGGGUGGGAAGGGGAGGACGGAGGACGUGCAGUUGGCAGGCAGAGGCAGGUCCUGAGUUCCUCAGCACCUGAGGAAUUAGCAAGAUCAUCAGUGUCCAGUGUCAUCCUCAGAGAAGGGGAGGUUGUUAUGGUCUGGACCGAACAGUGCAAGAAGGAGGGCUCCUUACUCUGCAGACAAAGAAACCCUGAGAGGCAAAGAUGCCACCGAGGAGCCACUGCGCACUGCUCAGUUGAUGAAUCGGGUGACUGUACGCCUCAGACUUCCCAGUCUCCCAAUAAAGAAAAGAAAAAAUUGGAACCAUCACUCCAUCGAAACAGCAUUCUUCAGUCCACUUCUUCCCAAAGAUAAUGGAUUCAGACUCCACCACGCUCAUCCCGUUGUCCCGCUCAUUUUCCCAAGAAAUGCCAAUUGGCUUCUACCAGAUCACCAGCACCCAGAACAGCUCCACCUUAUCGUCCAGAGGACAGCUGGCUUCUAAAUCCACCAUCCUGAGCUGCUCCCACAAAGACAGCAGCCUGGGAAAGCAGAGCACCAGCUCCAUGGUUCCACGGAGGCAGCCCCAGUCGAGCUCUGACGUGGAUACGUAUACUUUUGGGAAUGGUGAGGAUUAUUUCCUUUCUUUGUUUGGAGAAUCGAAGAAGCUCACCGCCCACACACCCCAAGCCGAGAACGUGAGCGAACACCUUUCUGUGAUCCUUGAGGAAGUCGGCCAAUUUACAUCCAGUUCUCUCGGAGAAAUUAAAAUAGCUGAGGUAAAUAUCAAGGGCCUCUUUGUGAGGCUUGUCAACUCCUCCAAUGAAAAGGAAGUAGAGAUUGGAAACCACAUUCUUCAGCAAAACGUGAAUGGACACGCAGUCUCCUUGUACCAGUUCCCCGACAACAUCACACUGCAGGCCAACUCCACGGUGACAGUGUGGGCAGCAGCUUCGGAAGCAAAGCCACAGCCACCAACGGACUUUGUUUGGGAGGAACAGAGCAAGUUCCGAUCCAGUCCGGACUGCACGACCAUCUUGUGCAAGCCCAAUGGUGAGGCCAUUGCCUGGUACACUCCUAUCCACUGGAAGCAAGCCUGGGAGAAGUUAGAGACUGACAUUGAAUUCGAAAGAUGCUCAGUGGUGGUCCCAUCAAUGAGAAACCACAUGUUUGGAUGGAUAACAGCAUCUGUCUCUUCCACAAACGAGGAGAAAGAAGAACCAAUACAGAAAACGCCCUCCCAAGUCUACCCUGUCCUCUACAGAGAAAAGGAAAUCCCGCCAACUGUCUUACCCAAUAAGAGCCCCUGGUGCCGCAAUCCCAACACUUCUCCACAUCCGUACAGCUCUCUGAUUGACUCACAUGACUCGGACAUUUCCGAAAGCAGUUUAGAUACACAGCUCAAGCCUCAGCCAACCAAGCCCAAACCAGACCCAGGGACCAAGAAAAAGAAAGCAAAGUCAUAAGAAAAUGGAAAGCCAUGAAAUCUGUGAACUAGAGCAGUGGCUGCCUGGAAAAGAAAGCAUUUCUAAAGAGGGCGGAGCUGCCAGUCCUGCUGCCCCAGCCCCCGGGUCCUCAGCAUUCCACGCACAAGCUGAAGAACCACACAGGCAUUCCUGAAGAGCAUUUUCCAUGUGUGCCUCAGAGAGAGUGAAGGCAGUACCCCCAACCCUGAUAUGCACGAGUUUUAUUGCUGGUAUACCUGUUUCGACUGGGCUCCACAAGAUCUCUUGUUUCCUGUAUUUGAUAAGUGUGGUUUUCUGCAAAGGUCUCCAUCGGUUGCAAAGAGACGUCUCCUUGAUGAAGGAUGAAAAAGUUGAGCCAAGAGUAUCCAGUAGCUACCACAGGAGAACCGCUUGUUAGCCAGAAGCAAGAUGCAGUGGGCUGCCCACCUGGUCUCCAGAGUGUGUCUCCUCUGCUGACAUCAGACCCAUUUCUUCAGCAUUUCAACACAAGUCAAAGACAAGCAGCUUCCAGGAAACUUCUAGUCCCUCCACAGCAGCACCUGGAAAUAGUGAUGAACCUGAUGAUGCUUCUCUUGACCUAACGGCGCGGGAAGGAGUGGAGAGCCCGAGAGAAGCCAUGUUGAAAUGCUCUCUUUCACUUGGUCGUCUGCACUCAGGCUUCCUGUGUCUGUGAAUGCCGCGGAGUGUAACAGACCCUGUUCUUCUCCAGCCCCGCCGGUUGUUUUAGAUCUGUAAUGACUAAGCUUGCCAUGGGAGAUUGUUCUGAAGGAAGCAGAUCUCAUAGUAGCCAAUGAGCAGGAGUCAUGUGUCGCAAUCCAGAGGCUCUGCCAAGAACACAACCUUCUAUCCAGAAGACUUCCGUUACGUCCUGAGCAGUGGGCGCAGCUGGGACCGGAGGUUGGACAAAAGAGCAAAGAGUGUGACAGUCCUGAAGUGCUUAGAUCGCAAAGAUGGAUGGAGGGAGCAUGGCGCUCUCAACAAACCUGAAGCCAGAAGGGAACAGAAACAACCUACAACUGCCUUCUGCUAAUGCAAUUCCCGAAGGGGAAAGCCCUCCAUCAUCUUCCCGGAAUAGGGAAAGUGCCCUUUAUGAAGAGAAAUCUAUUUCUACUACUUAAGUAGCUUUACGCCAUAUCCAGCAUGCAUUAGAAAACAAGCCAUAAGACACGGGAGUAGAAGGGACAAUUUGCAGAGGAAGGAAGGCGGUGAAGGGGGCGUGGAUACGAGGGGAGCAUGCGUGCUGCAUGUGUGAUGACGUCAGACUGAAACCUAGGAUUAUCCUGCGACUGUCUUAACUCAGAAACACCGGUCACAGUGAUCAUAGAUGACUGAAGAAGUGGGCCGGGGGCUCAAGGCAGGAACGAAUCAGGGGCCACAGAGGGAUGCUGCUUGUUAGCUUGCUCAGCCUGCUUUCUGCUACCACCCAGGGCAACCUCCCAGGGAUUGCUGGACCCACAGUGGGCUGAACCCUCUCACAUAAAUCAUUAAUCAAGAGAAUGAAGCACAAGCUUGCCCAAAGGCCAACCUGGUGAGGACAUAUCUUUGCUGAGAUUUCCUUUUCUCAAAUGACUAUAGCUCGACUCCACAUCAGGUUGAAAAAAA
This is an RNA transcript of Mus musculus (house mouse), 3105 nucleotides long. It is a transcript of the gene named lamin tail domain containing 1, with no coding region annotated. NCBI's taxonomy places the organism in Eukaryota, Metazoa, Chordata, Mammalia, Rodentia, Muridae. The record is from RefSeq and is marked validated. The transcript has 13 exons.